CAUUAUUUCAUAAGUCGCUUUACGUUUCGCCCUUAUAAGUCAACUAGAACACACUUCGCGGUCCCUCCUUCCUAUGUAUUCCUCCAUUUUCGACGGCGAAUGAAGUAAUUUCGGCUGACAUAACCUACAUUCAACCUCCAAUUCCUUCACAAAACAGUCCAAAAUCUUCUGAUUUCAGGACAUUGCAAGAAAUGUUAAAGGUAUAGCCUUUGAAGAUGUGUAGUUCAGAUACAUUGGAACAUUUGUCAAGAUUUAUUUUUCUCUGUGAUCAAUCUAGAGAUCCUCUUCUAAAUCACCAGGGGAUUAUUGACUUAAGAAUGAAUUGAUUUAGACACUUCAGAAGGUUGACCUUCCAUAUGAUAAAGGAUAUACUGACAUCAGUUAUCCAACAGGGUGCAUUACACAAUUCAGGCCCGGGUGACUGCUUAUCAAAAACGUAGGUCUCCACAAAGUUGUAAGACCAUGUAUGGGAGCUGAUGCUUGCCCAGUGCCGGAAGGGUCAAGGAAGUUGGUGACUCAAUGACAGGGGAGUUGACGACCAAAGGCCGGGUAAACGGUGGCCAUAAAUGUAACGGUCGUCGGGUAAGUUUCGAUCCUCACGAAAGGUGUAAUUAUCUGGGCAUUGUCUUGGAGAGAGGCUCGGUGAAAUAGACAUGUUUGUGAAGAAGCGGACUUCUGGACAAAAAGACCGGAUGAAGCUUCACUAUUCCGCAGUAAUUUAGAUUGGAAAUAUGGUGAAAUGUUAUUAACAUCAGUGACCAAUAAGGCUGCAGAAAUAGCUGGUGAACCUAUUUUCUUGUUUUUAUCAGUUGUCAGAGAACAUCAAUUGAAUCAAUCAAAAAAGAGAUGAGAACAUGCAAUCAUACCUCAAAGAUGCUGAGACCAAACAAGAGAGUGACCAAAGGGUCAAAAUCAUGAAGAGAAAGUGUUUUUUGUUCUUUAACAUUUAGAGGGUGUUUGGCUAAACUUAUAAGCUGGUCUAACGAGCUUAUAAGCACUUUUCGGCUUAUCUACGCGUUUGAUAAAGUUAAAAGUGCUUAUAAGUCAAGUGCUUAUAAGUCAAAAAUAAGCCAAAAGCCAUAAGAUGGUCACCCCCAGCUUAUAAAUUUUUAGCUUAUAAGCACUUUAAGUUUGACCAAGAUUUUUACUAUUUUAUCCUUAAAAUUUUCCUUUUUAGAACAAAACUCCUACAUCGAUAAUCACUGCCUCAAGUAUUUUUUCAACCUAAACCCUCCUCCUCUUCAAGUCUGCAAUUCUCAUUGACUAUUUAAGAUAAGCAAAUCCUCUAUUCCUUUGCAUAUUUGUAUAAAUGUAAUUGUGUAUUAAUCUUUGAACUGUAUGUAAUAAAUGAAGACAUAUCAAUUUUUUGGUGUA
Molecule: long non-coding RNA, 1374 nt
Organism: Nicotiana tabacum (common tobacco)
Lineage: Eukaryota; Viridiplantae; Streptophyta; Magnoliopsida; Solanales; Solanaceae
Source: RefSeq, a predicted model, not a curated record